Molecule: ribosomal RNA, 1120 nt
Filed under: Beauveria malawiensis
Lineage: Eukaryota; Fungi; Ascomycota; Sordariomycetes; Hypocreales; Cordycipitaceae
Description: SSU rRNA
Rfam family: Eukaryotic small subunit ribosomal RNA
Source: RNAcentral
UAAGCCAUGCAUGUCUAAGUAUAAGCAAUUAUACAGCGAAACUGCGAAUGGCUCAUUAUAUAAGUUAUCGUUUAUUUGAUAGUACCUUACUACUUGGAUAACCGUGGUAAUUCUAGAGCUAAUACAUGCUGAAAAUCCCGACUUCGGAAGGGAUGUAUUUAUUAGAUUAAAAACCAAUGCCCUCUGGGCUCCUUGGUGAUUCAUAAUAACUUUUCGAAUCGCACGGCCUUGCGCCGGCGAUGGUUCAUUCAAAUUUCUUCCCUAUCAACUUUCGAUGUUUGGGUAUUGGCCAAACAUGGUUGCAACGGGUAACGGAGGGUUAGGGCUCGACCCCGGAGAAGGAGCCUGAGAAACGGCUACUACAUCCAAGGAAGGCAGCAGGCGCGCAAAUUACCCAAUCCCGAUUCGGGGAGGUAGUGACAAUAAAUACUGAUACAGGGCUCUUUUGGGUCUUGUAAUUGGAAUGAGUACAAUUUAAAUCUCUUAACGAGGAACAAUUGGAGGGCAAGUCUGGUGCCAGCAGCCGCGGUAAUUCCAGCUCCAAUAGCGUAUAUUAAAGUUGUUGUGGUUAAAAAGCUCGUAGUUGAACCUUGGGCCUGGCUGGCCGGUCCGCCUCACCGCGUGCACUGGUCCGGCCGGGUCUUUCCCUCUGUGGAACCUCAUGCCCUUCACUGGGUGUGGCGGGGAAACAGGACUUUUACUUUGAAAAAAUUAGAGUGCUCCAGGCAGGCCUAUGCUCGAAUACAUUAGCAUGGAAUAAUACAAUAGGACGUGUGGUUCUAUUUUGUUGGUUUCUAGGACCGCCGUAAUGAUUAAUAGGGACAGUCGGGGGCAUCAGUAUUCAAUUGUCAGAGGUGAAAUUCUUGGAUUUAUUGAAGACUAACUACUGCGAAAGCAUUUGCCAAGGAUGUUUUCAUUAAUCAGGAACGAAAGUUAGGGGAUCGAAGACGAUCAGAUACCGUCGUAGUCUUAACCAUAAACUAUGCCGACUAGGGAUCGGACGAUGUUAUUUUUUGACGCGUUCGGCACCUUACGAGAAAUCAAAGUGCUUGGGCUCCAGGGGGAGUAUGGUCGCAAGGCUGAAACUUAAAGAAAUUGACGGAAGGGCACCACCAGGGGU